Molecule: ribosomal RNA, 262 nt
Filed under: Oxyrrhis marina
Lineage: Eukaryota; Dinophyceae; Oxyrrhinales; Oxyrrhinaceae
Description: partial Bacterial small subunit ribosomal RNA
Rfam family: Bacterial small subunit ribosomal RNA
Source: RNAcentral
CCUGGGCCUGCACUGACGCUCAUGCACGAAAGCGUGGGGAGCAAACAGGAUUAGAUACCCUGGUAGUCCACGCCGUAAACGAUGUCUACUAGCCGUUGGGGUACUUGAGACCUUAGUGGCGCAGCUAACGCACUAAGUAGACCGCCUGGGGAGUACGGCCGCAAGGUUAAAACUCAAAUGAAUUGACGGGGGCCCGCACAAGCGGUGGAGCAUGUGGUUUAAUUCGAUGCAACGCGAAGAACCUUACCAGGUCUUGACAUCC